Molecule: ribosomal RNA, 449 nt
Filed under: uncultured bacterium
Lineage: Bacteria
Description: bacterial SSU rRNA
Rfam family: Bacterial small subunit ribosomal RNA
Source: RNAcentral
UUCCAGACUCCUACGGGAGGCAGCAGUGGGGAAUAUUGGGCAAUGGGCGCAAGCCUGACCCAGCAACGCCGCGUGAAGGAAGAAGGCUUUCGGGUUGUAAACUUCUUUUGUCAGGGACGAAGCAAGUGACGGUACCUGACGAAUAAGCCACGGCUAACUACGUGCCAGCAGCCGCGGUAAUACGUAGGGGGCAAGCGUUAUCCGGAUUUACUGGGUGUAAAGGGUGCGUAGGUGGCAGGGCAAGUCAGAUGUGAAAGCCCGGGGCCCAACCCCGGUACUGCAUUUGAAACUGUCCGGCUGGAGUGCAGGAGAGGUAAGCGGAAUUCCUAGUGUAGCGGUGAAAUGCGUAGAUAUUAGGAGGAACACCAGUGGCGAAGGCGGCUUACUGGACUGUAACUGACGUUGAGGCUCGAAAGCGUGGGGAGCAAACAGGAUUAGAUACCCGGGUA